This 2773-nucleotide ribosomal RNA is filed under the name Escherichia coli. RNAcentral's name for it is "bacterial LSU rRNA". It matches the Rfam family "Bacterial large subunit ribosomal RNA". The record is from RNAcentral. Lineage: Bacteria; Pseudomonadati; Pseudomonadota; Gammaproteobacteria; Enterobacterales; Enterobacteriaceae.
AGCGUACACGGUGGAUGCCCUGGCAGUCAGAGGCGAUGAAGGACGUGCUAAUCUGCGAUAAGCGUCGGUAAGGUGAUAUGAACCGUUAUAACCGGCGAUUUCCGAAUGGGGAAACCCAGUGUGAUUCGUCACACUAUCAUUAACUGAAUCCAUAGGUUAAUGAGGCGAACCGGGGGAACUGAAACAUCUAAGUACCCCGAGGAAAAGAAAUCAACCGAGAUUCCCCCAGUAGCGGCGAGCGAACGGGGAGGAGCCCAGAGCCUGAAUCAGUGUGUGUGUUAGUGGAAGCGUCUGGAAAGGCGCGCGAUACAGGGUGACAGCCCCGUACACAAAAAUGCACAUACUGUGAGCUCGAUGAGUAGGGCGGGACACGUGGUAUCCUGUCUGAAUAUGGGGGGACCAUCCUCCAAGGCUAAAUACUCCUGACUGACCGAUAGUGAACCAGUACCGUGAGGGAAAGGCGAAAAGAACCCCGGCGAGGGGAGUGAAAAAGAACCUGAAACCGUGUACGUACAAGCAGUGGGAGCCUCUUUAUGGGGUGACUGCGUACCUUUUGUAUAAUGGGUCAGCGACUUAUAUUCUGUAGCAAGGUUAACCGAAUAGGGGAGCCGAAGGGAAACCGAGUCUUAACUGGGCGUUAAGUUGCAGGGUAUAGACCCGAAACCCGGUGAUCUAGCCAUGGGCAGGUUGAAGGUUGGGUAACACUAACUGGAGGACCGAACCGACUAAUGUUGAAAAAUUAGCGGAUGACUUGUGGCUGGGGGUGAAAGGCCAAUCAAACCGGGAGAUAGCUGGUUCUCCCCGAAAGCUAUUUAGGUAGCGCCUCGUGAAUUCAUCUCCGGGGGUAGAGCACUGUUUCGGCAAGGGGGUCAUCCCGACUUACCAACCCGAUGCAAACUGCGAAUACCGGAGAAUGUUAUCACGGGAGACACACGGCGGGUGCUAACGUCCGUCGUGAAGAGGGAAACAACCCAGACCGCCAGCUAAGGUCCCAAAGUCAUGGUUAAGUGGGAAACGAUGUGGGAAGGCCCAGACAGCCAGGAUGUUGGCUUAGAAGCAGCCAUCAUUUAAAGAAAGCGUAAUAGCUCACUGGUCGAGUCGGCCUGCGCGGAAGAUGUAACGGGGCUAAACCAUGCACCGAAGCUGCGGCAGCGACACUAUGUGUUGUUGGGUAGGGGAGCGUUCUGUAAGCCUGUGAAGGUGUACUGUGAGGUAUGCUGGAGGUAUCAGAAGUGCGAAUGCUGACAUAAGUAACGAUAAAGCGGGUGAAAAGCCCGCUCGCCGGAAGACCAAGGGUUCCUGUCCAACGUUAAUCGGGGCAGGGUGAGUCGACCCCUAAGGCGAGGCCGAAAGGCGUAGUCGAUGGGAAACAGGUUAAUAUUCCUGUACUUGGUGUUACUGCGAAGGGGGGACGGAGAAGGCUAUGUUGGCCGGGCGACGGUUGUCCCGGUUUAAGCGUGUAGGCUGGUUUUCCAGGCAAAUCCGGAAAAUCAAGGCUGAGGCGUGAUGACGAGGCACUACGGUGCUGAAGCAACAAAUGCCCUGCUUCCAGGAAAAGCCUCUAAGCAUCAGGUAACAUCAAAUCGUACCCCAAACCGACACAGGUGGUCAGGUAGAGAAUACCAAGGCGCUUGAGAGAACUCGGGUGAAGGAACUAGGCAAAAUGGUGCCGUAACUUCGGGAGAAGGCACGCUGAUAUGUAGGUGAAGUCCCUCGCGGAUGGAGCUGAAAUCAGUCGAAGAUACCAGCUGGCUGCAACUGUUUAUUAAAAACACAGCACUGUGCAAACACGAAAGUGGACGUAUACGGUGUGACGCCUGCCCGGUGCCGGAAGGUUAAUUGAUGGGGUUAGCGGUAACGCGAAGCUCUUGAUCGAAGCCCCGGUAAACGGCGGCCGUAACUAUAACGGUCCUAAGGUAGCGAAAUUCCUUGUCGGGUAAGUUCCGACCUGCACGAAUGGCGUAAUGAUGGCCAGGCUGUCUCCACCCGAGACUCAGUGAAAUUGAACUCGCUGUGAAGAUGCAGUGUACCCGCGGCAAGACGGAAAGACCCCGUGAACCUUUACUAUAGCUUGACACUGAACAUUGAGCCUUGAUGUGUAGGAUAGGUGGGAGGCUUUGAAGUGUGGACGCCAGUCUGCAUGGAGCCGACCUUGAAAUACCACCCUUUAAUGUUUGAUGUUCUAACGUUGACCCGUGAUCCGGGUUGCGGACAGUGUCUGGUGGGUAGUUUGACUGGGGCGGUCUCCUCCUAAAGAGUAACGGAGGAGCACGAAGGUUGGCUAAUCCUGGUCGGACAUCAGGAGGUUAGUGCAAUGGCAUAAGCCAGCUUGACUGCGAGCGUGACGGCGCGAGCAGGUGCGAAAGCAGGUCAUAGUGAUCCGGUGGUUCUGAAUGGAAGGGCCAUCGCUCAACGGAUAAAAGGUACUCCGGGGAUAACAGGCUGAUACCGCCCAAGAGUUCAUAUCGACGGCGGUGUUUGGCACCUCGAUGUCGGCUCAUCACAUCCUGGGGCUGAAGUAGGUCCCAAGGGUAUGGCUGUUCGCCAUUUAAAGUGGUACGCGAGCUGGGUUUAGAACGUCGUGAGACAGUUCGGUCCCUAUCUGCCGUGGGCGCUGGAGAACUGAGGGGGGCUGCUCCUAGUACGAGAGGACCGGAGUGGACGCAUCACUGGUGUUCGGGUUGUCAUGCCAAUGGCACUGCCCGGUAGCUAAAUGCGGAAGAGAUAAGUGCUGAAAGCAUCUAAGCACGAAACUUGCCCCGAGAUGAGUUCU